Molecule: non-coding RNA, 118 nt
Organism: Aedes albopictus (Asian tiger mosquito)
Lineage: Eukaryota; Metazoa; Arthropoda; Insecta; Diptera; Culicidae
Source: Rfam
UGCCCAGCAACUCCUAUUCCUACCUCCUCGUGGUAUCGGCCAGAAACUAUGAGCAACCUUAGGGAAGAUCGGGUAACCAACCCCGGUGGGAACUUUGAUCAUAGGCUGACAGGGAAGA